GUAACGGUGUCUUUAGACACCACCCUUUUUUUGUCUUCGAAAUAUAU
Molecule: non-coding RNA, 47 nt
Organism: Picea glauca (white spruce)
Lineage: Eukaryota; Viridiplantae; Streptophyta; Pinopsida; Pinales; Pinaceae
Source: Rfam